CGAAAGCCAGGGGAGCGAACGGGAUUAGAUACCCCGGUAGUCCUGGCUAUAAACGAUGUCCACUAGAUCGGCGCCUCUUUGACGGGGUGCCGGCCGAAACAAAAGCGUUAAGUGGACCGCCUGGGGAGUACGGUCGCAAGGCUAAAACUCAAAGGAAUUGACGGGGCCUCACACAAGCGGUGGAGCAUGUUGCUUAAUUCGAUGCAACGCGAAGAACCUUAUCCUGGGCUUGACAUGUACGGAUGCCUCCCUGGAAACAGGGUUGGUUGCCCUUCGGGGUGAAACGUGCACAGGUGCUGCAUGGCUGUCGUCAGUUCGUGUCGUGAGAUGUUGGGUUAAGUCCCGUAACGAACGAAACACCUGUCGUUAGUUGCCAGCGAGUAAUGUCGGGGACUCUAACGAGACUGCCGGUGUCAAACCGGAGGAAGGUGGGGAUGACGUCAAGUCCUCAUGGCCUUUAUGCCCAGGGCUGCAAACGUGCUACAAUGGCGGGGACAAACCGACGCAAGACCGCGAGGUGGAGCAAAUCGGAGAAACCCCUCCCCAGUUCGGAUUGCAGUCUGCAACUCGACUGCAUGAAGUUGGAAUCGCUGGUAA
RNAcentral lists this ribosomal RNA (597 nucleotides) under uncultured Planctomycetota bacterium. Its description in RNAcentral is "bacterial SSU rRNA". It matches the Rfam family "Bacterial small subunit ribosomal RNA", at positions 754 to 1341 of the family's 1533-position model. Lineage: Bacteria; Pseudomonadati; Planctomycetota. The record is from RNAcentral.